This is a non-coding RNA of Microcebus murinus (gray mouse lemur), 293 nucleotides long. The record is from RefSeq and is a predicted model, not a curated record. Lineage: Eukaryota; Metazoa; Chordata; Mammalia; Primates; Cheirogaleidae.
CGCUGCGAGUUCGUCAUCGUCAAGAGAAUUAGCUGGCGGACAUGCGUGCUCUGGGACGUUAGCUCCGGGCGUCCGCGGUGCAGAGGCAGGUUUAUUUUUCACCUCAACUGGACCUGUCCUGCUGCUGAUGCCUAGACGGCGCUGCUCAGGCGGUUCUGGUUGGAGAGGCGCAGAAUGAGGAGCCUGGAGUGUAUCUGGAACCUCCCAAGUCAGACCUGCGGCCGAGGCUCGUCAGGAGCCCUCUGAUCCCUGGGGGAAGCCGCGGAGGCAGGCGGCAGCCCACCUGGCGCGCU